Molecule: long non-coding RNA, 1333 nt
Organism: Onychostoma macrolepis
Lineage: Eukaryota; Metazoa; Chordata; Actinopteri; Cypriniformes; Cyprinidae
Exons: 3
Source: RefSeq, a predicted model, not a curated record
AGCGCGCGAUGUUUGAAGAGACCCGAGACCGAUUGAUGAUGCACGCGAUGGAUUUGGAAAACAUCAUGAAACGGUGAGUGAAAUUAGCUUCUUUCUCUUUAUCUUUCUGGGAAAAUUGAUUAUCCAAAAGACCGGUCCGAUGACAUCGUUACUAUAGUUAAAGCUAAAGUAGUCUUAUAGGCCUAACUUACUGAUCGACGGUUUUCCCCCUGUCGCUUCACAGAAGCUAUAAUGCUAAUAUUAAAAUCCGUGUUUCUUUUGGUUCACAGUUAAGAUAAGUUCAGCAAGUGUGUUUCUGCAUGUUCAGUUUAGGUGUGAUGUUAGCAUUUCAUUACCCUUCGCUUCAGUUGUUUAAAUCAGCACGUGUGCAUGAAUUAGCUUUUUGUUAACGCUAGUUUGUCCCUUAGAUAACUUAUAUAUAUUCUUAACUAUUAUUAUUUAUAAUAACUGUAACUGAGUUGUUGAGCUUAAAGUGAUGUGCAUAUGCUAAACAUUUAUGCUAAAAGUUACAGUUAGUCUUGAAAUGUAACACUUUUUUUCUCUGUUUUAUGUGUUCAUGGAGUUCUACAGGAUUGUGGGCAAGAAUCUCAAGCAAUCAUCUAAUUGAGAUAUUUCAGUCUAAAGAGGGGAUGUUGGGCAGCUGUUGACAGCUUUCACAACAAAUCAAGACUAAAGAGCCAACUGAUACUAGGUUUCUGCUGCUCAGAGGGCUCCCUUUUGCCCUUUGCGACAACCCUACAGAUUUCUACAAAGUAUGCUUUGACUCUGGAAUCAUCCUCACUGAGCAUGAAGGUGCUCUCAUCCUCUCUCCGUCUCAAUCCAGCCUCAUUGAAGGAGAUGUUGUGAUGGACAGUAUUGAAGACUUGUAAAAAGCUAUGUGCAUUCUGUAUGGAUUUAAGCACUGCAUCUCAAUUAUCCUAAAUCUAUGAAGAACACAUUCCAGAUCAUCCAACAGGUACUUCUCAUGUUGGGCCACAGUGAACUAAAACCCAGGUUGCAAACUCUGAAAAAUUGUUCUGCCGUACGAGACAUUAAAGUGUAUUCUGUCUCUGUAUAUUAGUGCUGUUAGUGCUCAGUUAAUGUGUUCACACAAUUCUUCAGCCAAGUUUAAAGUUACAGAGACUUGCCUCUGUUUUAAUUUAAGCCCAGUUGUUAAUACACAUCCAGGCAUUCACAAGAGAUAUAGCAUAUAUUCUUGAAUACUGUGUGUUCUUGUUUCUUCUACAAAAUAGUUACAAUUGUUAACAAGCUGUUCCAAAGCUUAUUUUUACUUGUCUUGUGGCUGACAAGUUUUAUGUAUUGUUGUGCUACCAUAUCUUUGGUGAACAAUUAA